UAUGUGAUCGUCUCUCGCAUAUCAAUAAGCGGAGGAAAAGAAACUAACAAGGAUUCCCCUAGUAACGGCGAGUGAAGCGGGAAGAGCUCAAAUUUGAAAUCUUAAAGGGUUUCCCUUUACGAAUUGUAGUUUAAAGGAGUGUUUUCUGUUGAGGUUUUGGUAAAAGUUCUUUGGAAUAGGACAUCAUAGAGGGUGAGAAUCCCGUAUUUGACCUUUACUUUCAACUUUGUGAUACACUUUCAAAGAGUCGGAUUGUUUGGGAAUGCAGUCCAAAAUGGGUGGUAAAUUUCAUCUAAAGCUAAAUAUUGGCGAGAGACCGAUAGCGAACAAGUACCGUGAGGGAAAGAUGAAAAGAACUUUGAAAAGAGAGUUAAACAGUACGUGAAAUUGUCAAAAGGGAAGCGUUUGACACCAGUGUUGUUUUUCUGAAAAUCAAUUAAAGAACUGUUUAUGCUAAGUUGUUUAGACUUUAUCAGCUAUCUGUUUAGUUUUGAGCUUUUCUUUAAUGCACUUUUCAGUUAACAAGUCAACAUCAAUUUCUUUUGCUGUAAAAAAGCUUGAGGAAGGUGGCUUGAGAUUCGUCUUAAGUGUUUAUAGCCUCUUGCCUAUGCAGUCGGAGAGAUUGAGGUCUGCAGCGUAGAUCCUUCGGGGCUAAAUGCAUUUGUGCUAAGUUAUAGCAUUUUAUAGACAACUUGUUGACUAUGAUUUGUCUUGUAGCUUACUCGCUUAUGUUAUUUUACCUACGCUUAGGAUGUUGACGAGACUGUCGAUCUC
RNAcentral lists this ribosomal RNA (774 nucleotides) under uncultured Neocallimastigales. RNAcentral's name for it is "partial large subunit ribosomal RNA". It matches the Rfam family "Eukaryotic large subunit ribosomal RNA", at positions 24 to 646 of the family's 3401-position model. Lineage: Eukaryota; Fungi; Neocallimastigomycota; Neocallimastigomycetes; Neocallimastigales. The record is from RNAcentral.